UACGUAUGGAGCAAGCGUUAUCCGGAUUUACUGGGUGUAAAGGGAGUGUAGGUGGCUAGGCAAGUCAGAAGUGAAAGCCCGGGGCUCAACCCCGGGACUGCUUUUGAAACUGCAGGGCUGGAGUGCAGGAGGGGCAAGUGGAAUUCCUAGUGUAGCGGUGAAAUGCGUAGAUAUUAGGAGGAACACCAGUGGCGAAGGCGGCUUGCUGGACUGUAACUGACACUGAGGCUCGAAAGCGUGGGGAGCAAACAGG
This 253-nucleotide ribosomal RNA is filed under the name [Lactobacillus] rogosae. RNAcentral describes it as "Lactobacillus rogosae partial 16S ribosomal RNA". It matches the Rfam family "Bacterial small subunit ribosomal RNA", at positions 524 to 776 of the family's 1533-position model. Lineage: Bacteria; Bacillati; Bacillota; Clostridia; Lachnospirales; Lachnospiraceae. The record is from RNAcentral.